Molecule: ribosomal RNA, 253 nt
Filed under: uncultured bacterium
Lineage: Bacteria
Description: partial 16S ribosomal RNA
Rfam family: Bacterial small subunit ribosomal RNA
Source: RNAcentral
UACGUAUGGAGCAAGCGUUAUCCGGAUUUACUGGGUGUAAAGGGUGCGCAGGCGGCGCGGCAAGUCAGAUGUGAAAGACCGGGGCUCAACCCCGGGGCUGCAUUUGAAACUGCGGUGCUCGAGUCCAGGAGAGGCAGGCGGAAUUCCUAGUGUAGCGGUGAAAUGCGUAGAUAUUAGGAGGAACACCAGUGGCGAAGGCGGCCUGCUGGACUGGUACUGACGCUGAGGCACGAAAGCGUGGGGAGCAAACAGG